UUAAGAGUGUCUAGAGUUGGGCCAUGAGGGUCUCUUAACGCAUUCUUUUUUCUUCUCAUCGGGGUUACUCAGUGCAAACUACCAAGCUGGAGUAUGGUAGGGAUAGAGCGAAUUUUUGAUGGAGCAGUGAAAUGUGUAGAGAUCAAAAAGAAUGCCAACGGCAAAAGCACAUUGCUGGGCUGACACUGACAGUGAGAGCCAAAAGCUAAGGGAGGCGAAUGGCAUUAGACACCCUAGUAGUCCUAGCCAUAAACGAUGGAUACUAGGUAUUGUGCGUAUCAGCCUGUGCAGUCUGCAAUGUUGUAGCUAACGUGUUGAGUAUUCCA
RNAcentral lists this non-coding RNA (326 nucleotides) under Morus notabilis. RNAcentral's name for it is "Bacterial small subunit ribosomal RNA". It matches the Rfam family "Bacterial small subunit ribosomal RNA", at positions 559 to 871 of the family's 1533-position model. The record is from Rfam by way of RNAcentral. Lineage: Eukaryota; Viridiplantae; Streptophyta; Magnoliopsida; Rosales; Moraceae.